GUGCCCGCCCGAGAAGGCGGCGCUGGGAGCCGCUCAGAGCCCAGAGAAGCGGCGCGCGGCCAGGAGCCCCCGCUCCGCCACUGCCGUGCCUGCCUCCCGCAGCUGUCUGCCAUGCGCUCGCCGGGGCAGGGGCGCCCGGAGGGCGGCUAGAGCUGGGCCUGAGCCCGGGAACGCGCCUGAUCAGGGGUGGCGGAGCCGCGGUCCCCACAGCCGCCCCACCCGCGCCGCUGCCUCGCUGGGGCCCGGGCCCCCUUCCCGGUCCUUACUCCCCUGCUGGUGCCUCCCUCCUUGGCGCGCUUCCCACCUGCGAUCGGCGCCCUCUUCGCAGUCACGAACUCGCCAGCAGCUAGCAGCACUGACUAGUAGGAGGGCCCGCCGGAGGAGAGCCGCGCGGCCCACAGAAGCGGAACGCGCGUCGAGAGCGCCCUGUCCGCUCGCCCCAGACAGAUGCCCGGUUAUUCAUUACCGCGAGGCCUAGAGGAAAGAGUGGCUGCCGUCUUCCUGCCCACAGCCCGCCGGACCCUCCGUCGCGGCUGCCCGGUCCCCGGAGCCGCAGCCGCCGAGCCCGGCU
Molecule: long non-coding RNA, 571 nt
Filed under: Homo sapiens (human)
Lineage: Eukaryota; Metazoa; Chordata; Mammalia; Primates; Hominidae
Description: non-protein coding MIR9-3HG:4
Source: RNAcentral